RNAcentral lists this ribosomal RNA (97 nucleotides) under uncultured bacterium. RNAcentral's name for it is "partial 16S ribosomal RNA". It matches the Rfam family "Bacterial small subunit ribosomal RNA", at positions 1384 to 1482 of the family's 1533-position model. The record is from RNAcentral.
UACACACUGCCCGUCACGCCAUGGGAAUUGGUUUUACCUGAAGUUAGUGAGCUAACGCAAGAGGCAGCUAACCACGGUGAAAUUAGUGACUGGGGUG